Molecule: ribosomal RNA, 492 nt
Filed under: uncultured bacterium
Lineage: Bacteria
Description: partial 16S ribosomal RNA
Rfam family: Bacterial small subunit ribosomal RNA
Source: RNAcentral
AGUGAACGCUGGCGGUAGGCCUAACACAUGCAAGUCGAACGGCAGCACAGUAAGAGCUUGCUCUUACGGGUGGCGAGUGGCGGACGGGUGAGGAAUACAUCGGAAUCUACUUUUUCGUGGGGGAUAGCGUAGGGAAACUUACGCUAAUACCGCAUACGACCUACGGGUGAAAGCAGGGGAUCUUCGGACCUUGCGCGAUUGAAUGAGCCGAUGUCGGAUUAGCUAGUUGGCGGGGUAAAGGCCCACCAAGGCGACGAUCCGUAGCUGGUCUGAGAGGAUGAUCAGCCACACUGGAACUGAGACACGGUCCAGACUCCUACGGGAGGCAGCAGUGGGGAAUAUUGGACAAUGGGCGCAAGCCUGAUCCAGCCAUACCGCGUGGGUGAAGAAGGUCUUCGGGUUGUAAAGCCCUUUUGUUGGGAAAGAAAAGCAGCAGGUUAAUACCCCGCUGUUCUGACGGUACCCAAAGAAUAAGCACCGGCUAACUUCGUG